Long non-coding RNA from Oxyura jamaicensis (ruddy duck), 1666 nucleotides. RefSeq lists it as uncharacterized. NCBI's taxonomy places the organism in Eukaryota, Metazoa, Chordata, Aves, Anseriformes, Anatidae. The record is from RefSeq and is a predicted model, not a curated record. The transcript is spliced from 4 exons.
UAGAGAGCACUGAACAACAAAACCUACAGAAAACAUAGCCUCAUCUUUUACAGGAACUAUUUCUGGUUUUGAGUAAUUACUUGGAAAACAAGUUCUUGCAUACAUGUUACUGUGAAAGUUUUCCACAAUAGUAAGCAGACCUGGAGGAAACUGUGAAAAAGUAAUACAAGAAUGGCAAGGACUAAGUCAGGAGGCAAGAGAAGAAAACCUGAAUAGAUCUACCUUAAAAGCUGUUACAGGUGCUAAUUGAAGGGAACAGAGUGAAUGGAAGCUUUGCUGCAGGAGGCUGACUGAGUGCCACUGGGGAUACAAGAGGUACUCUGGGAGAGAAAAGUUCUAUCUGUCUAUUGUUUCUUUGUAUAGGCCACUGAAACAAAUUGAAACACUAAUAAAUAUGUACAGUGAACAACUACCCAAUAGUUUGUGAUCUCGCUGUGGAGGUCAAUGUCUCCAUGAGCUUCCUCUGACUCUCUCUGCCCAUUUGUGUGACAAAUGUUAGGAGGGCCCACACAAUACCAUGUGCUGGACACCUGUGAAGAGCAGCAGCUGGUGGUGCCUGUUGAAAGGGGGGAAGAGGUGCCAGGUCACAUGGAUGCUCUUCCUGUGGAGCAGCUUGGGCUGAAAUGAGGAAGGGGAAAUUUAUACUGGUACAGAGUGAAGGAAAGAUUAUCACACACUUAGGAACUGUCUCAACUACCCAGUGCCAUUGAGCAGCUGAGAGGCAGCAAGAUCCCUCUUAGCAGUAAGUGCUUGAUUCAAAGCAAAGGCAAGCAUGUUGUCUCAAACGACCCGCAGUGAUGGUUUGAACUGAUGUCUAAUUUUGCCAUGAAAUGGACUGUAGGUGCUCUCAGAGAGAAGCAGUUCAAAAAGCUGUUCAAGGCAUUCAUCCUCCAUGCCUAUCAAAGACAGUUACUGUCUGUUGGUUCAGAGGUUGUGCGUGAGCAUCAUCCAUAUAAAUGAACUUAAUAUGGGUAAACAUGUCAGAUGCAGACAUACAUCUGAUAUAUCAGAAGAAACACUGUGACAAGUUUGGCAAUAAGCUAGUUAUAUAAGCACUCAAGAUCAAGCCAAAUUGCAUUCAACUGUCAACAUAUUCUGUGUGAAAUAAUUUACAUCCAAGAAACCUUCACAAAAAUCCAGGUGAAUGAGAUCUGCUGCAGAGCACAGAGUAGUAAGAUCUAGAGACAUUCGUAUUUCAGGGAGGCUUCUAACAGCAUAGAAAAAGUUGGCAUAUUGAGCUGCCCAGAUAUUUAUUUAUUUAUUACAAAACAUUUAUACCUGUCCUCUUCAGGCCAAAGCAAACUCCAAAAAGGAGAAGAAAAAAAAAAAAUGGAAAAACAAAAUGGAUUGCCACCAAUGUUUCUAAGGACCAAGCAACUUUGUAAUAAAUGCUCUAUUAGAGCAGGAAAUAAAACCCUUUGAUAUACAUUACAUAACCAUCUGUGGUGGGCUGACCUUGGCUGACUGCCAGAUGUCCCCCAAGGUGUUCCCUCACUUCUCCUUUUCAACAGCACACAGACAAAAUAAAAUGGAAAUGCUUAAGGAUUGAGAUAAAGACAGGGAGAUCAGUUACAAAUUGUCAUCAUGGGAAAAACAGACUUGGGAGAAAUUAAUUUAUUACCACUUUAAAAUAGACUUGGAUGUUGAAUAACAAAGACAAAAAUCU